CAGGAUGGGUUCUGGGCUGACAGUACCUGUGAAAGAAAACUUGGUUACAUCUGUAAAAGAAAACCCUUGGCAGAAGAAUCAGGGGAAGCUGAAGUUACUUACCCGGGAUGCCAGAAAGGCUGGAUGAAGCACGGCUUUUACUGCUACUCCAUAGGGCAACUGCCAGCAACAUUUUCAGAAGCAAAACUUAUCUGUGAAGAAAAUAAAGCUCACCUGGCU
This 219-nucleotide long non-coding RNA is filed under the name Gallus gallus (chicken). Its description in RNAcentral is "long non-coding RNA NONGGAT003787". The record is from RNAcentral. Lineage: Eukaryota; Metazoa; Chordata; Aves; Galliformes; Phasianidae.